Molecule: ribosomal RNA, 951 nt
Filed under: uncultured Solimonas sp.
Lineage: Bacteria; Pseudomonadati; Pseudomonadota; Gammaproteobacteria; Nevskiales; Nevskiaceae
Description: bacterial SSU rRNA
Rfam family: Bacterial small subunit ribosomal RNA
Source: RNAcentral
GCCUAACACAUGCAAGUCGCGCGGGCAGUAGCAAUACUGUUAGCGGCGGACGGGUGAGGAACACAUAGGAAUCUGCCUCAGAGCGGGGGAUAGCCCAGGGAAACUUGGAGCAAUACCGCAUGAUGUCGCAAGACCAAAGCUGGGGACCGCAAGGCCUAGCACUCUGAGAGGAGCCUAUGUCUGAUUAGCUAGUUGGUAGGGUAAAGGCAUACCAAGGCGACGAUCAGUAACUGGUCUGAGAGGACGAUCAGUCACACCGGAACUGAGACACGGUCCGGACUCCUACGGGAGGCAGCAGUGGGGAAUAUUGGACAAUGGGCGCAAGCCUGAUCCAGCAAUGCCGCGUGUGUGAAGAAGGCCUUCGGGUUGUAAAGCACUUUAAGCAGGGAAGAAAAAACUCGGUCUAAUACAUCGAGUCUUGACGGUACCUGAAGAAUAAGCACCGGCUAACUCUGUGCCAGCAGCCGCGGUAAUACAGAGGGUGCUAGCGUUAAUCGGAUUUACUGGGCGUAAAGCGUGUGUAGGUGGUUAUUCAAGUCAGUUGUGAAAUCCCUGGGCUUAACCUGGGAACUGCUUCUGAGACUGAAUGACUAGAGUACGGUAGAGGGUGGUGGAAUUUCCGGUGUAGCGGUGAAAUGCGUAGAUAUCGGAAGGAACAUCAAUGGCGAAGGCAGCCACCUGGGCCUGUACUGACACUGAGACACGAAAGCGUGGGGAUCAAACAGGAUUAGAUACCCUGGUAGUCCACGCCGUAAACGAUGAGAACUUGACGUCGGUUUGCUCUGCAAGUCGGUGUCGUAGCUAACGCGAUAAGUUCUCCGCCUGGGGAGUACGGCCGCAAGGUUGAAACUCAAAGGAAUUGACGGGGGCCCGCACAAGCGGUGGAGUAUGUGGUUUAAUUCGAUGUAACGCGAAGAACCUUACCUGGGCUUGACAUGCUAGGAAUCCUGC